ACACCCUCAAGCUCUGCUUGGUGUUGGGCGUCUGUCCCGCUUCGUGCGCGGACUCGCCCUAAAGGUAUUGGCAGCGAUCAUGCCAGCUUCUCGCGCAGCACAUUGCGCUUCUCGAGGCACCGGCGGAUCAGCGUCCAUCAAGCCCACUUCCACA
RNAcentral lists this unclassified non-coding RNA (154 nucleotides) under uncultured Pleosporales. RNAcentral describes it as "sequence contains ITS2". Lineage: Eukaryota; Fungi; Ascomycota; Dothideomycetes; Pleosporales. The record is from RNAcentral.